UACGUAGGGGGCAAGCGUUGUCCGGAAUUAUUGGGCGUAAAGAGCUCGUAGGCGGUCUGUCGCGUCGGCUGUGAAAACCCGGGGCUCAACCCCGGGCCUGCAGUCGAUACGGGCAGACUAGAGUGCGGUAGGGGAGACUGGAAUUCCUGGUGUAGCGGUGAAAUGCGCAGAUAUCAGGAGGAACACCGGUGGCGAAGGCGGGUCUCUGGGCCGAUACUGACGCUGAGGAGCGAAAGCGUGGGGAGCGAACAGG
Molecule: ribosomal RNA, 253 nt
Filed under: uncultured bacterium
Lineage: Bacteria
Description: partial 16S ribosomal RNA
Rfam family: Bacterial small subunit ribosomal RNA
Source: RNAcentral